Molecule: transfer RNA, 85 nt
Filed under: Alistipes sp.
Lineage: Bacteria; Pseudomonadati; Bacteroidota; Bacteroidia; Bacteroidales; Rikenellaceae
Also listed under: 1 other name
Description: tRNA-Ser
Rfam family: tRNA
About the family: Transfer RNA (tRNA) molecules are approximately 80 nucleotides in length. Their secondary structure includes four short double-helical elements and three loops (D, anti-codon, and T loops).
Source: RNAcentral
GGAGAGAUGCCGGAGUGGUCGAUCGGGGCGGUCUCGAAAACCGUUAUACCUUCGGGUAUCCAGGGUUCGAAUCCCUGUCUCUCCG